GACGAACGUUGGCGGCGUGCUUAAUACAUGCAAGUCAACUAAAGCAGUGGUAGCAAUAUCGCUGUGGAGGUGGCGCACGGGUGAGUAACACGUAGGUAAUCUGCCUUCAGGUCUGGCAUAACUCCGGGAAACCGGGGCUAAUAGCAGAUGAUGCAGCGGCUCGACAUCGAGACAGUUGUUAAAGCUAUGGCGCCUGAAGAUGAGCCUGCGUCUGAUUAGCUAGUUGGCGGGGUAACGGCCCACCAAGGCAACGAUCAGUAGCUGGUCUGAGAGGAUGAUCAGCCACACUGGAACUGAGACACGGUCCAGACUCCUACGGGAGGCAGCAGUAAGGAAUAUUGCUCAAUGGGAGAAAUCCUGAAGCAGCAACGCCGCGUGAGGGACGAAGGGCUUUUGCUUGUAAACCUCUGUAGUGAGAGAAAAAAAUCCCAAUCUUUGGGACAUGAUGGUAUCUCAAAAGUAAGCCCCGGCUAACUACGUG
Molecule: ribosomal RNA, 481 nt
Filed under: uncultured bacterium
Lineage: Bacteria
Description: partial 16S ribosomal RNA
Rfam family: Bacterial small subunit ribosomal RNA
Source: RNAcentral